CCCUUCUCCCAACAAACGGGUUUGUGCCUUCGGUCCUGCCCAUUGAUCCUCGUGUUCGAUGUGGUCCAGUUGUACCGUUGGCAGUUCGGCGAUUAAUGGAAGCGUUUUGUUUUAAAUAACACCCUAGCGUAAAUCCGCGUCGACAGAUCCGAGAUUGAUAACUUCCCCUUGUUUCCUCAUCUUGAGUUUGUUUUCGGACUGAGCCCGGUGGGGAGGGAGGGAGAUAGUUGGGCGCCAUAUUCCACCGCGUUGCAUAGAACGUCGUUCUUUGACGUUUGGGCAAAACCAUGGCUGCAUACAUUU
RNAcentral lists this small nuclear RNA (303 nucleotides) under Tuber melanosporum Mel28. RNAcentral's name for it is "a. fumigatus sRNA Afu_309". It matches the Rfam family "A. fumigatus sRNA Afu_309". The record is from Rfam by way of RNAcentral. Lineage: Eukaryota; Fungi; Ascomycota; Pezizomycetes; Pezizales; Tuberaceae.